ACUGUAAAGAAACAGGGCUUUCUUCCGCUUUUUCUAGCAGCAAAGUGCUUUGUUAGGGAACUGUCUUAUCAGUAGCUUUCUGCACUCCCAGCAGCAUCAACAGUCCUCAGGGCUCCCCAUACAUUUCAACAAACAUUUUCUGCUGCUGCAUGAAUACUCGGAAACCUUCUGGCUCCAGCAAAAGGAAAAUGUGGGUUGUGGCCAACAUUUUUAGCCACAGAAAACCAGAAAUGUCGGAUACGCCUGAUACUUCUGACUCCAGCAAAGAAGAGUGGGUUAUACCCAAUGGUUCUGGCUCUAACAGAGAAGUGUGUUGUACAUCCAACAUUUCUGGCUCCAGAGGAAGAGAAUCAUGGCAUACACGCGAUGUUUCUGGCAACAGAAGAAGAAAGGCAUUGGAAAGACAGUGUGAGGACACUGAUCUCAGAAAGACAACUGCAGAAGGCAGCAGACUUACAUCUGACACCUCACAGCAGCCACUAGCCUAUGGAGACCAGACUUCUAACAUGAAGGAAAUGUUAGAAAUUAUGAAAGAGAUGGACAACAAAAAAACAAAGGAAAUGUUUGAAAUGAUAAAAGAGCUCGACAAUAAAAAGAUGAAGCAAGUGUUUGAAAUGAUAAAAGAGAUGGACAAUAAAAAAACACAGGAAAUGUUCACAAUGGUAAAAGAGAUGGACAACAAAAAAACAAAGGAAAUGUUUGAAAUUAUGAAAGAGGUGGACAGCAAGAACACAAAGGAAAUAAUCGAAAGGAUGAAGAAUAUGGACCAAAAAAUAACAAUUUUGUCUGACACUAUUCAGUAUCUACUGAACCUUCUGGAUAGUCACAACAGAGAACUUCCUGAAAGGGUAAUCCAAUUACUGUGUAAGGAGAAAGAGGAAAAUGAGAUGCUGAAAGAGAAGACAAAAAAGCUACAGGAAAGAAUGCAAGAGAUGUUGACUAAAGCAAUGGCCACGCACCAACACUCUGAGGACAUCAGUGACCCUUCACGUUUGUCUGCAGUGCUGGAGAGAUACGAGAUGCUCCGGCUACAGGAAUGGGAGAAAGUCAGGAGCUCCAUGCCCUACCGUUGGACCUAUGAAGAGGGCAGCCGCAUCAUUAGGAGGGUGUUUGAUGCCUGUGAAAAAGAUAUACAGAAGAGAGCAGAUGACAUACUUAAAGUUCUUGACAUUCCACCUUCAAAUAAGGUGAUGAUGCAUGACAUAAUGAAGCUGCUCAGGCAACAGUAUCACCAAAACUCAAUGGUUUACAAGAAGAUUGUUCAAGAAGCUGCCAUUCACAUAAGAACUGAAAAUGAAACACAGUUCCUGAUGCAGUGCUGUCAAAUUUAUUGUCUACUGCUUCUUCAGGACCCACCAGUUAAAGCUGAGUGGAAGAUGAACAGAAACCAUUUAGAGCACGUGGACAAGAAAGAUGAAGUGCACUGGCAAAAAGCAUCACUUCUGUGGCCCAUAAUGAAACGUGGGGAAGAAAUUAUUGUGAAAGGUGUAGUCUGGGAUCAAAGGAAAAUGACUUGAGAGUCGGGCUAAUUACUUACUUAGCCAUAAGAAGAUGAAACAGCUGCUAUGCGAUACUCUGCUUUUCUUUCUCCCAUUAAUUGCCUACUUUUCAGAGCUAGUAAGUUAGACAUCCCCCACAUGGGACAUCUAGGAUAAAUCAUCAUUAACAAACCUGUAUUAAAAACUGAAGCUAUUCCAAUUGUCUCCUCACAAAGGCCACCUGCCUGUUAGCACUCCCCUGCUUUCCCACAUCUGUACAAUUUACCUUUCCCAAAGUCCUUCAGCUACACACGUGCCACAGCACUGGACCAAAGAAAUCUACAAGUUGUAUUCCGUGGCAUAAUGGGGAUGCAAUGAGGCAAAUGCAUGUUUAUGUUAUUUGGUGUGACACAGUAUUCUGUGAGCAACUUGAGAAUUACCAAAUAAAAAAGACUUUAAAUUC
Long non-coding RNA from Taeniopygia guttata (zebra finch), 1941 nucleotides. The record is from Ensembl. Lineage: Eukaryota; Metazoa; Chordata; Aves; Passeriformes; Estrildidae.